This 1280-nucleotide ribosomal RNA is filed under the name Salmonella enterica. RNAcentral's name for it is "partial 23S ribosomal RNA". It matches the Rfam family "Bacterial large subunit ribosomal RNA", at positions 1 to 1312 of the family's 2925-position model. Lineage: Bacteria; Pseudomonadati; Pseudomonadota; Gammaproteobacteria; Enterobacterales; Enterobacteriaceae. The record is from RNAcentral.
GGGUUGUGAGGUUAAGCGACUAAGCGUACACGGUGGAUGCCCUGGCAGUCAGAGGCGAUGAAGGGCGUGCUAAUCUGCGAUAAGCGCCGGUAAGGUGAUAUGAACCGUUAUAACCGGCGAUACCCGAAUGGGGAAACCCAGUGUGAUUCGUCACACUAUCAUUAACUGAAUCCAUAGGUUAAUGAGGCGAACCGGGGGAACUGAAACAUCUAAGUACCCCGAGGAAAAGAAAUCAACCGAGAUUCCCCCAGUAGCGGCGAGCGAACGGGGAGGAGCCCAGAGCCUGAAUCAGCAUGUGUGUUAGUGGAAGCGUCUGGAAAGGCGCGCGAUACAGGGUGACAGCCCCGUACACAAAAGCGCAUGUGCUGUGAGCUCGAUGAGUAGGGCGGGACACGUGGUAUCCUGUCUGAAUAUGGGGGGACCAUCCUCCAAGGCUAAAUACUCCUGACUGACCGAUAGUGAACCAGUACCGUGAGGGAAAGGCGAAAAGAACCCCGGCGAGGGGAGUGAAAAAGAACCUGAAACCGUGUACGUACAAGCAGUGGGAGCACCCUUUUGGGUGUGACUGCGUACCUUUUGUAUAAUGGGUCAGCGACUUAUAUUCUGUAGCAAGGUUAACCGAAUAGGGGAGCCGUAGGGAAACCGAGUCUUAACCGGGCGUUAAGUUGCAGGGUAUAGACCCGAAACCCGGUGAUCUAGCCAUGGGCAGGUUGAAGGUUGGGUAACACUAACUGGAGGACCGAACCGACUAAUGUUGAAAAAUUAGCGGAUGACCUGUGGCUGGGGGUGAAAGGCCAAUCAAACCGGGAGAUAGCUGGUUCUCCCCGAAAGCUAUUUAGGUAGCGCCUCGUGAAUUCAUCUCCGGGGGUAGAGCACUGUUUCGGCUAGGGGGCCAUCCCGGCUUACCAACCCGAUGCAAACUGCGAAUACCGGAGAAUGUUAUCACGGGAGACACACGGCGGGUGCUAACGUCCGUCGUGAAGAGGGAAACAACCCAGACCGCCAGCUAAGGUCCCAAAGUCAUGGUUAAGUGGGAAACGAUGUGGGAAGGCCCAGACAGCCAGGAUGUUGGCUUAGAAGCAGCCAUCAUUUAAAGAAAGCGUAAUAGCUCACUGGUCGAGUCGGCCUGCGCGGAAGAUGUAACGGGGCUAAACCAUGCACCGAAGCUGCGGCAGCGACACUGUGUGUUGUUGGGUAGGGGAGCGUUCUGUAAGCCUGUGAAGGUGUGUCGUGAGGCAUGCUGGAGGUAUCAGAAGUGCGAAUGCUGACAUAAGUAACGA